This 398-nucleotide ribosomal RNA is filed under the name Agrobacterium sp. UR43. RNAcentral's name for it is "bacterial SSU rRNA". It matches the Rfam family "Bacterial small subunit ribosomal RNA", at positions 958 to 1357 of the family's 1533-position model. The record is from RNAcentral. Lineage: Bacteria; Pseudomonadati; Pseudomonadota; Alphaproteobacteria; Hyphomicrobiales; Rhizobiaceae.
AACGCGAAGACCUUUACCAGUUCUUGACAUCCUGUGCCCGCUACGGAGACGUAGUUUUCCUUUCGGGGACACAGAGACAGGUGCUGCAUGGCUGUCGUCAGCUCGUGUCGUGAGAUGUUGGGUUAAGUCCCGCAACGAGCGCAACCCUCGCCCUUAGUUGCCAGCAUUAAGUUGGGCACUCUAAGGGGACUGCCGGUGAUAAGCCGAGAGGAAGGUGGGGAUGACGUCAAGUCCUCAUGGCCCUUACGGGCUGGGCUACACACGUGCUACAAUGGUGGUGACAGUGGGCAGCGAGACCGCGAGGUCGAGCUAAUCUCCAAAAGCCAUCUCAGUUCGGAUUGCACUCUGCAACUCGAGUGCAUGAAGUUGGAAUCGCUAGUAAUCGCAGAUCAGCAUGC